AUAAUAUUUGCAGCACAUAUGCUAAAAUUGAAACAAUAUAUAAAAGAUUUGUAUGGCCCCUGUGCAAGGAUGACACAAAAAUUUGUGAAGUGUUCCACAUUUCU
Molecule: small nuclear RNA, 104 nt
Organism: Grammomys surdaster
Lineage: Eukaryota; Metazoa; Chordata; Mammalia; Rodentia; Muridae
Source: RefSeq, a predicted model, not a curated record